RNAcentral lists this ribosomal RNA (485 nucleotides) under uncultured bacterium. RNAcentral describes it as "partial 16S ribosomal RNA". It matches the Rfam family "Bacterial small subunit ribosomal RNA", at positions 30 to 506 of the family's 1533-position model. The record is from RNAcentral.
AUUGAACGCUGGCGGCAUGCCUUACACAUGCAAGUCGAACGGCAGCACGGGUGCUUGCACCUGGUGGCGAGUGGCGAACGGGUGAGUAAUACAUCGGAACAUGUCCUGUAGUGGGGGAUAGCCCGGCGAAAGCCGGAUUAAUACCGCAUACGAUCUACGGAUGAAAGCGGGGGACCUUCGGUCCUCGCGCUAUAGGGUUGGCCGAUGGCUGAUUAGCUAGUUGGUGGGGUAAAGGCCUACCAAGGCGACGAUCAGUAGCUGGUCUGAGAGGACGACCAGCCACACUGGGACUGAGACACGGCCCAGACGCCUACGGGAGGCAGCAGUGGGGAAUUUUGGACAAUGGGCGAAAGCCUGAUCCAGCAAUGCCGCGUGUGUGAAGAAGGCCUUCGGGUUGUAAAGCACUUUUGUCCGGAAAGAAAUCCUUGGCCCUAAUACGGUCGGGGGAUGACGGUACCGGAAGAAUAAGCACCGGCUAACUACGU